UACGUAGGGGGCUAGCGUUGUCCGGAAUUAUUGGGCGUAAAGCGCGUGUAGGCGGUUUGAUAAGUCUGCUGUGAAAGUCGAGGGCUCAACCCUCGAAAGCCGGUGGAUACUGUCAGACUGGAGUACGGAAGAGGCGAGUGGAAUUCCUGGUGUAGCGGUGAAAUGCGCAGAUAUCAGGAGGAACACCAAUUGCGAAGGCAGCUCGCUGGGACGUUACUGACGCUGAGACGCGAAAGCGUGGGGAGCAAACAGGAUUAGAUACCCUGGUAGUCCACGCUGUAAACGAUGGGCACUAGGUGUGGGGGGUGUCGACUCCCCCCGUGCCGGAGCUAACGCAUUAAGUGCCCCGCCUGGGGAGUACGGCCGCAAGGCUAAA
Molecule: ribosomal RNA, 376 nt
Filed under: uncultured bacterium
Lineage: Bacteria
Description: bacterial SSU rRNA
Rfam family: Bacterial small subunit ribosomal RNA
Source: RNAcentral